GUCCACGCCGUAAACGAUGAGAACUUGACGUCGGCUUGCUUAGCGAGUCGGUGUCGUAGCUAACGCGAUAAGUUCUCCGCCUGGGGAGUACGGCCGCAAGGUUGAAACUCAAAGGAAUUGACGGGGGCCCGCACAAGCGGUGGAGUAUGUGGUUUAAUUCGAUGCAACGCGAAGAACCUUACCUGGCCUUGACAUGUCCGGAAUCCUGCAGAGAUGCGGGAGUGCCUUCGGGAAUCGGAACAC
RNAcentral lists this ribosomal RNA (243 nucleotides) under uncultured bacterium. Its description in RNAcentral is "partial 16S ribosomal RNA". It matches the Rfam family "Bacterial small subunit ribosomal RNA", at positions 793 to 1035 of the family's 1533-position model. The record is from RNAcentral.